UGAAAAACCAAAAGAGCCAGAGAGACAGAGUAACUCUUUAAGUGAAAGAAACAUUGUGCUACUGCUAAACAAUCAUAGUAGAUAUGGAAGUUAGCUCAAAAUGGAGAUGGAAUUUCGAAGGAAAAGAAGAAGCAAAGACAGCAUCAGCUUGCACUAUUAGAAGUUAUCUCAAUACCUUAAAUGAAAACAUUAACAAAAAUGAUAAUACAAAAAGUGUAAUCCCUCUUAGCCAUGGAGAUCCUAGUGGUUUUCCAAGUUUUCGAACAAGUAAAGUAUCAGAGGAUGCUCUUGUUGAUGCACUUCAAUCUGCGAAAUACAAUGGAUAUUGUGGAAACCCUGAUAUUUUCCACGCCAGUAGGUCAAUUGCA
RNAcentral lists this unclassified non-coding RNA (368 nucleotides) under Hevea brasiliensis (rubber tree). Lineage: Eukaryota; Viridiplantae; Streptophyta; Magnoliopsida; Malpighiales; Euphorbiaceae. The record is from RNAcentral.